Long non-coding RNA from Chinchilla lanigera (long-tailed chinchilla), 454 nucleotides. RefSeq lists it as uncharacterized. The transcript has 2 exons. The record is from RefSeq and is a predicted model, not a curated record. Lineage: Eukaryota; Metazoa; Chordata; Mammalia; Rodentia; Chinchillidae.
CCAUGCAGCAUGUGACAGUGACAGUGCUUUAUCAGUAAUGGUCCCCUAAAGGCUGAAUGGAGAAGUGAGAGUCCAGAGGUGUGUCUAGGAGGAAAUGGUCCUUGUGAGGCCGGGCACUGUCUGUGGUCUCGGGCCUCUGCAGAAUGUGACCUGCUGUGAAUGAGGGCGAGGACAGACCCUGUGCGAUUGAUGAAGAUGACGCAGUGGGAUAACACAGACACUGGCGGAGGACACAGCACCCUAGGAGGCCCUCUACCCUACCAUCCUGCAAAAAUGGUCUCUGAGGCUCCUCCCGGCCCGGACUUUCUGGAACCCUCCCACUGCUCAUCAUAGGCAGCUCUUAUUUUCCUUGCAUUUUCAUCCCCUGUCCCCUUUUUCCUUCUUUACUUCCCCUUUCUCUUCUGUCUGGCUUUUAUUGUCUCCUCUUUGGAAAAAAAUCCUGUCUUUGGGAAAA